Transfer RNA from Gloeophyllum trabeum ATCC 11539, 92 nucleotides. It matches the Rfam family "tRNA". Rfam says of the family: Transfer RNA (tRNA) molecules are approximately 80 nucleotides in length. Their secondary structure includes four short double-helical elements and three loops (D, anti-codon, and T loops). Lineage: Eukaryota; Fungi; Basidiomycota; Agaricomycetes; Gloeophyllales; Gloeophyllaceae. The record is from Rfam.
GCACUUGUGGCCCAAUGGUCAAGGCGUCCGCUUCCUAUGUAUAUUGCUUACAUAAUAGCGGAAGAUUGUGGGUUCGAGUCCCACCUGGUGUA